GGACCCGUAGCUCAGUCCGGUUAGAGCGUUCGGUUUACAUCCGAAAGGUCAGAGGUUCGAUUCCUCUCGGGUCCA
RNAcentral lists this transfer RNA (75 nucleotides) under Candidatus Gottesmanbacteria bacterium RIFCSPHIGHO2_01_FULL_40_15. RNAcentral describes it as "tRNA-Val". It matches the Rfam family "tRNA". Rfam says of the family: Transfer RNA (tRNA) molecules are approximately 80 nucleotides in length. Their secondary structure includes four short double-helical elements and three loops (D, anti-codon, and T loops). Further hydrogen bonds mediate the characteristic L-shaped molecular structure. tRNAs have two regions of fundamental functional importance: the anti-codon, which is responsible for specific mRNA codon recognition, and the 3' end, to which the tRNAs corresponding amino acid is attached (by aminoacyl-tRNA synthetases). tRNAs cope with the degeneracy of the genetic code in two manners: having more than one tRNA (with a specific anti-codon) for a particular amino acid; and 'wobble' base-pairing, i.e. permitting non-standard base-pairing at the 3rd anti-codon position. The record is from RNAcentral. Lineage: Bacteria; Candidatus Gottesmaniibacteriota.